GAGGAUAUCUUACCUACUAUCAUAGCACCAUUAGUA
Molecule: small RNA, 36 nt
Filed under: Romboutsia ilealis
Lineage: Bacteria; Bacillati; Bacillota; Clostridia; Peptostreptococcales; Peptostreptococcaceae
Description: CRISPR spacer
Source: RNAcentral